Molecule: ribosomal RNA, 468 nt
Filed under: uncultured bacterium
Lineage: Bacteria
Description: partial 16S ribosomal RNA
Rfam family: Bacterial small subunit ribosomal RNA
Source: RNAcentral
GAUGAACGCUGGCGGCGUGCUUAACACAUGCAAGUCGAACGGUGAAGGCGGAGCUUGCUCUGCUGGAUCAGUGGCGAACGGGUGAGUAACACGUGAGCAAUCUGCCCCUGACUCUGGGAUAAGCGCUGGAAACGGCGUCUAAUACUGGAUACGAGCUGCGAAGGCAUCUUCAGCAGCUGGAAAGAACCUCGGUCAGGGAUGAGCUCGCGGCCUAUCAGCUUGUUGGUGAGGUAACGGCUCACCAAGGCGUCGACGGGUAGCCGGCCUGAGAGGGUGACCGGCCACACUGGGACUGAGACACGGCCCAGACUCCUACGGGAGGCAGCAGUGGGGAAUAUUGCACAAUGGGCGAAAGCCUGAUGCAGCAACGCCGCGUGAGGGACGACGGCCUUCGGGUUGUAAACCUCUUUCAGCAGGGAAGAAGCGAAAGUGACGGUACCUGCAGAAAAAGCGCCGGCUAACUACGUG